UGGUAACUGGCUGAUGGUUCACAGGAAUGCUGACUGCUGCUGACUGACUUGCUGCUGGUUGACUGGGUAGUGUCACCUGUCCCUGUCUCUCCUCUCUAGCCAUGUCCUUUUUCUUCACUCUCACUUUCCUUUCUCUGAGUGUCCUCGUUCUUUUUUCCUCAACCUUUGAAACUGAUAGAGGUAGAAUACAUGGUUUUGCUAAUUUUAAAUAUUGAAAAUAUCACAUCACUUUACUUCAACUAGUACGAGUUUGUACUUAUUAUAUAUGAAUCACCUGAAAUAACAUAGCUGUAAUCAGCAGCCAUUUCUUGUAUGUUCACAGGUCUAGGGGUGCAUCGUGGAGCAGGGCCCUCCUCUUUUUGACCACAGGACGGUGUACAAAGAUUGUGGGAAUAGCAUCUGGUCUCAGCCUACUCUUGAAUUUUUUGGUCAUGACAAAUUGCAUUGCCGCAAUUUGUCUGCAUACUGACUUCAGUUUAGUUUCCACACACACCUUUUUUUUUGUCUACCCACUUACAGUACAUAUCACAUGGUGGUUAAAUGCACAGUUAUAGGUAACACUGAUGACUCCCUGAAAUGUCUCACCAUGAGUCUCAGCUCCCUGGGUUUUGCAAGGCUUUGCUUGUUCCUUAUUUCUAGUAAAACAUUGUCAAUGUAAAAAAGUGCAAAUAAAUCGGGGAAGCCAUACAUUCGCACACCUUUCUCUGACUGAGUGGAGCAUCCCCAUGCAGCACAGUAAACCACGGUGGAGACUAUGCAAGGACAACAUGAAAGAAAGGACACAUACAAAAUGCUUGUCAUGCUAUUAAAUUUAUUAGAAAUGUAUUCAUGAAUUGCUGUAAAUAGUUAAUUGUAUAAUUACAAUUUAAAAUAACUGUUUUCUAUUUUAAAAUGGAAUAUACUCCUGUGAUGCCAA
Long non-coding RNA from Carassius gibelio (silver crucian carp), 916 nucleotides. RefSeq lists it as uncharacterized. The transcript is spliced from 2 exons. NCBI's taxonomy places the organism in Eukaryota, Metazoa, Chordata, Actinopteri, Cypriniformes, Cyprinidae. The record is from RefSeq and is a predicted model, not a curated record.